This 470-nucleotide ribosomal RNA is filed under the name Phenacoccus madeirensis (Mexican mealybug). RNAcentral's name for it is "bacterial SSU rRNA". It matches the Rfam family "Eukaryotic small subunit ribosomal RNA", at positions 127 to 509 of the family's 1831-position model. The record is from RNAcentral. Lineage: Eukaryota; Metazoa; Arthropoda; Insecta; Hemiptera; Pseudococcidae.
CGUACCCGUUACUUGGUAACUGUGGUAAUUCUAGAGCUAAUACAUGCCGACAGAGUUCCGACCAACUGUACAGAUGUGCGUCGGCCUCGGUCGUCGUCGCUGUACGGUUCGGAAGGAACGCUUUUAUUAGAUCAAAACCGGCCAGACGGUGGUUUCGCGUUCGCGCGCGUCUCCAUUCGUAAGCGGCCCGCGCAAAGACUUGGUGACUCUGAAUAACUUCGAGCUGAUCGCACGGUCCUAGUACCGGCGACGUAUCUUUCAAAUGUCUGCCUUAUCAACUGUCGACGGUAGGUUCGACGCCUACCGUGGUGGUAACGGGUAACGGGGAAUCAGGGUUCGAUUCCGGAGAGGGAGCCUGAGAAACGGCUACCACAUCCAAGGAAGGCAGCAGGCGCGCAAAUUACCCACUCCCAGCUCGGGGAGGUAGUGACGAAAAAUAACGAUACGGGACUCAUUCGAGGCCCCGUAAU